AGUGAACGCUGGCGGUAGGCCUAACACAUGCAAGUCGAACGGCAGCACAGUAAGAGCUUGCUCUUACGGGUGGCGAGUGGCGGACGGGUGAGGAAUACAUCGGAAUCUACUUUUUCGUGGGGGAUAACGUAGGGAAACUUACGCUAAUACCGCAUACGACCUACGGGUGAAAGCAGGGGAUCUUCGGACCUUGCGCGAUUGAAUGAGCCGAUGUCGGAUUAGCUAGUUGGCGGGGUAAAGGCCCACCAAGGCGACGAUCCGUAGCUGGUCUGAGAGGAUGAUCAGCCACACGGGAACUGAGACACGGUCCAGACUCCUACGGGAGGCAGCAGUGGGGAAUACUGGACAAUGGGCGCAAGCCUGAUCCAGCCAUACCGCGUGGGUGAAGAAGGCCUUCGGGUUGUAAAGCCCUUUUGUUGGGAAAGAAAAGCAGCAGGUUAAUACCCCGCUGUUCUGACGGUACCCAAAGAAUAAGCACCGGCUAACUUCGUG
RNAcentral lists this ribosomal RNA (492 nucleotides) under uncultured bacterium. Its description in RNAcentral is "partial 16S ribosomal RNA". It matches the Rfam family "Bacterial small subunit ribosomal RNA", at positions 29 to 507 of the family's 1533-position model. The record is from RNAcentral.